GUCAGAGACCACCCCUUCUGCGCCUCCAUAUAAACCCCACCCAGCCAGCCCUGAGCGCAGACGGCGGAGGCUGGGAGGCAGCGCGCCUCGGCCCGCCGGCCUUGGCCGCAGCUCCCCGGGAGAAGCGGGGCGCCCACACGAGAGUCUCCCCACCCGGGUCUCUUCAGGGAUGACAUCAUCCGUUCACCUCCACGUCUUCGAGGACCGCCUCUCGAUGCCAUGCUGCUGCCAAGAGGGCACUUGGAGACCCGACCCCUGGAUGGAAGCAGCGUCCAGAGAGACCCCCCACGGCCGCCUCGGGACCAGGGUGCCGAAGGAUGAAGAGGACCAGGACCGACCAGCCAGCUCUCCCUCUUGGCUAAAUGCUCAAACCAGUGCCCUACGCUCCAGGCAGCCCCUCCCCACGGGGCUCUCCUUUGCACCAGAUGAGAACGGAUUCGGCAUUGAUUUGAGUGAUCUGCAAAAGGUGGGUGGGCACGAGGACGUGAGGGAGCCCAGUGCCCUUCUCGUGGCACAGGCCACGUUCACAGUGGCGGUGGGGACGCUGAGGCUGGAGGAGUGUAAGUAUUCUGUCACGUUGUUGGCAAGAGAAGGGGUCAGAGUUGAACCCUGGGUGACACUGUGGCUGCCCCUUAGCCCGCUGGCCCGGAGUUCUCCUAAGAGCCCUUUAUGUCCAAGGACACCCUGGGCAGUGGGGUAG
This 700-nucleotide long non-coding RNA is filed under the name Suricata suricatta (meerkat). Its description in RNAcentral is "lncRNA (ENSSSUG00005012117.1)". The record is from RNAcentral. Lineage: Eukaryota; Metazoa; Chordata; Mammalia; Carnivora; Herpestidae.